GACGAACGCUGGCGGCGUGCUUAACACAUGCAAGUCGAACGGAAAGGCCCUGCUUGCAGGGUACUCGAGUGGCGAACGGGUGAGUAACACGUGGGUGAUCUGCCCUGCACUUCGGGAUAAGCCUGGGAAACUGGGUCUAAUACCGGAUAGGAGCCAUUUUUAGUGUGAUGGUUGGAAAGUUUUUUCGGUGUAGGAUGAGCUCGCGGCCUAUCAGCUUGUUGGUGGGGUAAUGGCCUACCAAGGCGGCGACGGGUAGCCGGCCUGAGAGGGUGGACGGCCACAUUGGGACUGAGAGACGGCCCAGACUCCUACGGGAGGCAGCAGCGGGGAAUAUUGCACAAUGGGCGCAAGCCUGAUGCAGCGACGCCGCGGGGGGGAUGACGGCCUUCGGGUUGGAAACUCCUUUCGCUAGGGACGAAGCUUUUUGUGACGGUACCUAGAUAAGAAGCACCGGCUAACUACGUG
RNAcentral lists this ribosomal RNA (465 nucleotides) under uncultured bacterium. RNAcentral describes it as "partial 16S ribosomal RNA". It matches the Rfam family "Bacterial small subunit ribosomal RNA", at positions 28 to 507 of the family's 1533-position model. The record is from RNAcentral.